AUGCAGCAGAAAAUUCUUCAAGCCAUCCAUGCUAGUGCUACUGGGGGACACUCGGGAAUGCAAUUCACACAUGAGCGCCUACGCCGACUGUUUGCAUGGGCAGGGAUGCGUCAAGACGUGAACCUGUUUGUCUCAAACUGCAAUAUCUGCAAACAAGCCAAAGCAGAGCGUGUGCGCACCCCAGGGCUGCUGGAACCUCUGCCCAUUCCUCCUCAUGCUUGGCACACUGUCACCCUUGAUUUCGUCGAAGGGCUACCCAUCUCAAGGGGGUUCUCUUGCAUUAUGGUGGUGGUGGACAAGCUGACUCGGUACGCUCAUUUCAUUCCUUUGGCUCAUCCGUUCUCAGCUCUCCAAGUGGCCACUACUUUCAUGACUCACGUCUACAAACUCCACGGUCUGCCACAUGCUAUGGUCUCGGAUCGGGAUCGUGUGUUCACAAGCAGGCUUUGGAAGGAGCUAUUUUGUCAGGCCGGAACGGAACUGCGCAUGUCAUCAGCAUACCACCCGCAGACAGAUGGAACCACGGAGAGAGUGAACCAAUGCUUGGAAACUUAUCUCCGCUGUUUCGUACACUCCUGCCCACACCGGUGGUUUCAGUGGUUGCACCUCGCAGAAUUCUGGUACAAUACAGCACCUCAUUCCGCUUUGCAGGCGUCCCCGUUUGAGGUACUAUACGGUCACCCCCCUCGUCACUUCGGUAUCAUUGAUGCUUCAGUGUCUUCUCCUAUGGAUCUGGCCAGCUGGCAUCAGGAGAGGGAAGUGGUGACUGCACUAUUGCGACAGCAUUUGGAACGAUCCAGGCAAAGGAUGAAGGAUCAGGCAGACAGGAAACGAUCAGAGCGUUCUUUCUCCGUGGGUGAUUGGGUGUUUGUGAAGCUGCAGCCCUACGUGCAGGUUUCCGUCGCUGCUCGUGCAAAUCACAAGUUAUCCUUCAAGUUCUUUGGCCCUUUUCAGGUGACAGCACGCAUUGGAGAGGUGGCGUAUCGCUUGAAAAUGCCGGAAGGAAGCCGAAUUCACCCCGUGUUUCAUGUGUCGUUGCUGCGACAAGCUCUGCCGCCGGACACGGAAGCUGUUUCUGCACUGCCCGAGCCCCUUCCGCCUCAUUCACCACCAGAUUUCCCGGAGAAGGUGCUAGCGAGGCGCAUGAUCACAAGAGGCAAGGCCAAGAUCCCUCAAGUCCUGAUCAAGUGGUCAUCCCAGCCGGACGCGCUGGCCUCAUGGGAAGAUUUCUUCGAGCUCCGCAGUCGAUUUCCAGGGGCUGCGGCUUGGGGUCAAGCCGCGUCUGAAGCAAGGGGGGAUGUCACGGAUACCGCUACGCCCAAGCCCACCAACGACGCCGGCCGGCCCAAGAGGAACAAGAAGCCCAACAGGCUUUUCGACCCAGACACCUGGGAGCUGUGA
This 1401-nucleotide ribosomal RNA is filed under the name Triticum aestivum (bread wheat). RNAcentral's name for it is "partial small subunit ribosomal RNA". The record is from RNAcentral. Lineage: Eukaryota; Viridiplantae; Streptophyta; Magnoliopsida; Poales; Poaceae.